Molecule: small nucleolar RNA, 127 nt
Organism: Megalops cyprinoides (Indo-Pacific tarpon)
Lineage: Eukaryota; Metazoa; Chordata; Actinopteri; Elopiformes; Megalopidae
Product: small nucleolar RNA SNORA65
Exons: 1
Source: RefSeq, a predicted model, not a curated record
CCCGCCACUAUGCCUGUCUGUACGAGUGAUACGGUGUAUUCCAGUGGGGGCUGAGAGUGACCCAGCUCUAGGAAGCAGGGCUGCUCAGACACGUGGGCAGCUCUGUGCCGAAAGGCCUGGAACAAAC